RNAcentral lists this ribosomal RNA (497 nucleotides) under uncultured bacterium. Its description in RNAcentral is "partial 16S ribosomal RNA". It matches the Rfam family "Bacterial small subunit ribosomal RNA", at positions 28 to 507 of the family's 1533-position model. The record is from RNAcentral.
GAUGAACGCUGGCGGCGUGCCUAAUACAUUCAAUUCGAGCGAACGUACUAGAAUCUUUCUUCUCUGAUGUUUGCUUCUUACGGGUUAGUAACACUUUGAUAACCUACCUUUUAUACUUUGAUAACUUCGGGUAACCUUGUCUAAUACCGGAUAAUAUUUUGAACCGCAUGGUUCAAAAGUGAAAGACGGUCUUGCUGUCUCUUAUAGAUGGAUCCGCGCUGCAUUAGCUAGUUGGUAAGGUAACGGCUUACCAAGGCAACGAUGCAUAGCAGACCUUAUAGGGUGAACGGAAAAAAUGGAACAGAGACACGGAAAAGAAUACUAAGGGAGGAAGCAGAAGGGAAUCUUCCGCAAUGGGCGAAAGCCUGACGGAGCAACGCCGCGUGAGUGAUGAAGGUCUUAGGAUCGAAAAAAUCUGUUAUAAGGGAAGAAAAUAUGUGUAAGUAACUGUGCACAUCUUGACGGUACCUAAUCAGAAAGCCACGGCUAACUACGUG